UAUCUUCCGUGGGCGCUGCAAGAUUGAGAGAGCCUGCUCCUAGUACGAGAGGACCGGAGUGGACGCACCUCUGGUGUAUCGGUUGUCACGCCAGUGGCAUCGCCGAGUAGCUAAGUGCGGAAGAGAUAACCGCUGAAAGCAUCUAAGCGGGAAACUCGUCUCAAGAUGAGUCUUGCCGGGGCCUUGAGCCCCCUGAAGAGUCGUUCGAGACCAGGACGUUGAUAGGCUGGGUGUGGAAGCGCAGUAAUGCGUUAAGCUAACCAGUACUAAUUGCUCGUGAGGCUUGACCCUAUAA
Molecule: ribosomal RNA, 295 nt
Filed under: Betaproteobacteria bacterium
Lineage: Bacteria; Pseudomonadati; Pseudomonadota; Betaproteobacteria
Description: partial 23S ribosomal RNA
Rfam family: Bacterial large subunit ribosomal RNA
Source: RNAcentral